GAUGAACGCUGGCGGCGUGCCUAAUACAUGCAAGUCGAGCGAACAGAUAAGGAGCUUGCUCCUUUGACGUUAGCGGCGGACGGGUGAGUAACACGUGGAUAACCUACCUAUAAGACUGGGAUAACUUCGGGAAACCGGAGCUAAUACCGGAUAACAUUUUGAACCGCAUGGUUCUAAAGUGAAAGAUGGUUUUGCUGUCACUUAUAGAUGGACCCGCGCCGUAUUAGCUAGUUGGUAAGGUAACGGCUUACCAAGGCGACGAUACGUAGCCGACCUGAGAGGGUGAUCGGCCACACUGGAACUGAGACACGGUCCAGACUCCUACGGGAGGCAGCAGUAGGGAAUCUUCCGCAAUGGGCGAAAGCCUGACGGAGCAACGCCGCGUGAGUGAUGACGGGUUUCGGCUCGUAAAAAUCUGUUAUUAGGGAAGAACCACUGUGUAAGUAACUGUGCACGUCUUGACGGUACUUAAUCAGAAAGCCACGGCUAACUACGUG
This 497-nucleotide ribosomal RNA is filed under the name uncultured bacterium. Its description in RNAcentral is "partial 16S ribosomal RNA". It matches the Rfam family "Bacterial small subunit ribosomal RNA", at positions 28 to 507 of the family's 1533-position model. The record is from RNAcentral.